AUUGAACGCUGGCGGCAGGCCUAACACAUGCAAGUCGAGCGGAUGAAGGGAGCUUGCUCCUGGCAUCAGCGGCGGACGGGUGAGUAAUGCCUAGGAAUCUGCCUGGUAGUGGGGGCUAACGUCCGGCAACGGGCGCUAAUACCGCAUACGUCCUGAGGGAGAAAGUGGGGGAUCUUCGGACCUCACGCUAUCAGAUGAGCCUAGGUCGGAUUAGCUAGUGGGUGGGGUAAAGGCCUACCAAGGCGACGAUCCGUAACUGGUCUGAGAGGAUGAUCAGUCACACUGGAACUGAGACACGGUCCAGACUCCUACGGGAGGCAGCAGUGGGGAAUAUUGGACAAUGGGCGAAAGCCUGAUCCAGCCAUGCCGCGUGUGAGAAGAAGGUCUUCGGAUUGUAAAGCACUUUAAGUUGGGAGGAAGGGCAGUAAGUUAAUACCUUGCUGUUUUGACGUUACCAACAGAAUAAGCACCGGCUAACUUCGUG
Molecule: ribosomal RNA, 484 nt
Filed under: uncultured bacterium
Lineage: Bacteria
Description: partial 16S ribosomal RNA
Rfam family: Bacterial small subunit ribosomal RNA
Source: RNAcentral